This is a non-coding RNA of Plectosphaerella cucumerina, 84 nucleotides long. The record is from the annotation of a GenBank genome assembly. NCBI's taxonomy places the organism in Eukaryota, Fungi, Ascomycota, Sordariomycetes, Glomerellales, Plectosphaerellaceae.
GGGCGUGUGGCGCAGCGGUUUAGCGCGUCCGCUUUGCAUCCUCCAGCUUGCGGAAGGUCCCGUGUUCAAAUCGCGGUUCGUCCA